Pelobates cultripes (western spadefoot toad) is the source of this 1117-nucleotide non-coding RNA. The record is from the annotation of a GenBank genome assembly. Lineage: Eukaryota; Metazoa; Chordata; Amphibia; Anura; Pelobatidae.
CCCCUACUUGCACUGUACUGAGCAAGCUAGUGGUUUCUGAGCGUGCUAGAAGGUCUGGAAUAGGUAGGCUGUCAGGGUCCUCAGUAGCAGGAAUACAUAUGGCUGCAAUAUCCUCUGGCCUCUCUUGAUACUCUUUCAACAGAUUAACAUGAAAUGAUUUCCGAAUCCUCUCAUCUUUGUUACUGGCGAUCACAUAGGUAGUGUCGCAGACUUGCGCUACUACCUUGUAAGGGCCCUGCCAGGAGGUCUGGAGUUUAUUCCCCUUAACGGGUCUAAGCACCAGAACCUUCUGUCCCACCUGGAAUGUUCUCUGACGGGCGCCCUGAUCUUACCAACGUUUCAGACGACCCUGGGCCGCCUGGAGAUGGUCUCAUGCCAUCCGAGCUAAGUGCUCCAUGCGGUCCCACAUCUCCAGAACAUAUGGCACAAUGGGGACACCCUCAUGUUCCAUCUCUCCUUCCCAGUGCUCUCAGAUGAGAUCGAGAGGGCCUUGAACUCUCCUUCCAUAGAGCAGUUAAAACGGAGAGAACCCAGUGGACUCCUGCGGCACCUCCCGAUAUGCAAACAAGAGGUGCGGCAAGAAUCGCUCCCAGUCUCUGUAUUCCGCUGUAAAGGUCCACAGUAACUGCUUUAGGGUACCAUUAAAGCGCUCACAGAGACCGUUAGUCUGAGGGUGGUAGGGUGAGCUGAGGAGGGUCUUAAUACCGCAGACCUUCCAUAAGUCUGUGGUAAACUGUGUCCCUCUGUCAGACAGUAUUUCCUGAGGGAAUCCCACCCUGGUGAAUAUCCAGACUAGAGCACUGGUGACAGUGUCAGCCUGGAUAUUUGUCAGAGCAACGGCUUCCUGGUAGCGUGUAGCAUAGUCCACCACGGUAAGAAUAUAUUUCUUACCGGAGGGACUGGGGUUAGGUAGGGGCCCUACCAGGUCGACUGCCACUCUGCUAAACGGUUCCUCGAUCACGGGCAUAGGUGACAGUCGAGCCUUAGGGUGAUCCCCCCUCUUCCCUAGUUGUUGGCAGACGUCACACGUGCUGCAGUAACUCUGCACAUCCUUCGAGAUCCCUGGCCAAAAGAAGGUCUGGGUGAUCUUGUAGGUGGUGCGGUUACCCCCUAAAUG